RNAcentral lists this ribosomal RNA (322 nucleotides) under uncultured eukaryote. RNAcentral describes it as "partial 18S ribosomal RNA". It matches the Rfam family "Eukaryotic small subunit ribosomal RNA", at positions 1470 to 1796 of the family's 1831-position model. The record is from RNAcentral.
CCCUUAGAUGUUCUGGGCCGCACGCGUGCUACACUGAGUGGAUCAGCGGGUCAGGUUGCGCGAAAGUGUUUCCUAAUCUUGAAAUCCGCUCGUGAUGGGGAUUGACGGUUGCAAUUUUCCGUCAUGAACGAGGAAUACCUUGUAAGCGCGGGUCAUCAUCCCGCGCUGAGUACGUCCCUGCCCUUUGUACACACCGCCCGUCGCUCCUACCGAUUGAGUGGUCCGGUGAGGCUUUGGGAUCUGAGCAAAGAGAGCGUUUCGCUCGUUUUGCCCGGAAAACUCAGUCGAACCUUAUCAUUUAGAGGAAGGAGAAGUCGUAACA